CGCACGCUGGCGGCGUGCUUAACACAUGCAAGUCGACCGGCAAGGCCCUGCUUUUGUGGGGUGCUCGAGUGGCGAACGGGUGAGUAACACGUGAGUAACCUGCCCUUGACUUUGGGAUAACUUCAGUAAACUGGGGCUAAUACCGGAUAGGAGCUCCUGCUGCAUGGUGGGGGUUGGAAAGUUUCGGCGGUUGGGGAUGGACUCGCGGCUUAUCAGCUUGUUGGUGGGGUAGUGGCUUACCAAGGCUUUGACGGGUAGCCGGCCUGAGAGGGUGACCGGCCACAUUGGGACUGAGAUACGGCCCAGACUCCUACGGGAGGCAGCAGUGGGGAAUAUUGCACAAUGGGCGGAAGCCUGAUGCAGCAACGCCGCGUGCGGGAUGACGGCCUUCGGGUUGUAAACCGCUUUCGCCUGUGACGAAGCGUGAGUGACGGUAAUGGGUAAAGAAGCACCGGCUAACUACGUG
RNAcentral lists this ribosomal RNA (466 nucleotides) under uncultured bacterium. RNAcentral's name for it is "partial 16S ribosomal RNA". It matches the Rfam family "Bacterial small subunit ribosomal RNA", at positions 30 to 507 of the family's 1533-position model. The record is from RNAcentral.